This 215-nucleotide long non-coding RNA is filed under the name Elaeis guineensis (African oil palm). Its description in RNAcentral is "long non-coding RNA (EGUI_LNC066973)". The record is from RNAcentral. Lineage: Eukaryota; Viridiplantae; Streptophyta; Magnoliopsida; Arecales; Arecaceae.
CCCUGACUCAAAGGGAGUCUUAUCAAGAAAAGAUGUCCUAGGUGCAACCCACGAUGAUGCAGCCAUGGGUGAAUGAAUAGUGCCCUACAAACUAAUCACACGGAUCAUAGAUGGGACUUUUCUGUUUUAUCUUCCUACUCAUAUACAUAACAUUGAUUAUAUAUUAUUAAUAAGAGGCACUAUGUUUCAUCAUGUGGUGUAUCUUAUUAUCUCAU